CUCAGUAACGCGUAGUCAAUCUAACCUAUGGACGGGGAUAACCUCGGGAAACUGAGAAUAAUACCCGAUAGAACAUUAUGCCUGGAAUGGUUUAUGUUUCAAAUAAUUUAUUGCCGUAGGAUGGGACUGCGGCCUAUCAGUUUGUUGGUGAGGUAAUGGCCCACCAAGACUAUUACAGGUACGGGCUCUGAGAGGAGUAGCCCGGAGAUGGGUACUGAGACACGGACCCAGGCCCUAUGGGGCGCAGCAGGCGAGAAAACUUUGCAAUGUGCGAAAGCACGACAAGGUUAAUCCGAGUGGUUUCUGCUAAAGGAACCUUUUGUUAGUCAUAGAACCACUAAUGAAUAAGGGGUGGGCAAGUUCUGGUGUCAGCCGCCGCGGUAAAACCAGCACCUCAAGUGGUCAGGAUGAUUAUUGGGCCUAAAGCAUCCGUAGCCUGCUUUGUAAGUUUUCGGUUAAAUCCAUACGCUUAACGUAUGGGCUGCCGGGAAUACUGCACAGCUAGGGAGUGGGAGAGGUAGACGGUACUCGGUAGGAAGGGGUAAAAUCCUUUGAUCUAUCGAUGACCACCUGUGGCGAAGGCGGUCUACCAGAACACGUCCGACGGUGAGGGAUGAAAGCUGGGGGAGCAAACCGGAUUAGAUACCCGGGUAGUCCCAGCUGUAAACUAUGCAAACUCGGUGAUGCAUUGGUUUGAUGCCAAUGCAGUGCCGCAGGGAAGCCGUUAAGUUUGCCGCCUGGGAAGUACGUACGCAAGUAUGAAACUUAAAGGAAUU
RNAcentral lists this ribosomal RNA (776 nucleotides) under uncultured crenarchaeote. Its description in RNAcentral is "bacterial SSU rRNA". It matches the Rfam family "Archaeal small subunit ribosomal RNA", at positions 89 to 866 of the family's 1478-position model. Lineage: Archaea; Thermoproteati; Thermoproteota. The record is from RNAcentral.